GUUUCCUCCCAGCAUCUUGGCUCGGAUCUCUGACCGGAUCCGAGCCUCGUAGAGCUGCUUCUCUUGGUCUAAGAGCUUGUUCUCUUUCUCUCUGGCUUUCUUCUCGUGCAUGCGUUUCCAUUGCCACUUGUUGAGACCUCCCGGGAAGGUUCUGGGACCGCCGCCCAUGUUACGAGAGAGGAUUAGGCUCCAUAUGGAUCCGGAUCGUUCCCGGAGAAUCGUUGAGUACAUUUCCGGUGAGUGACGCUAGAAGAAAAGAAACAGAGUGAAGGAAGGUUUUAGCCUUUUUAGGGUUUAAGGUUGUAAUUGUAAAGCGCUUCAGUGAUGUUAUCCGGUUUAGUUUUCAUGAAAGAAUCGGUAUGUAAUUGAACCGGUAGGAAAAAUAAUUAGUUAUGCUAUUGUGUCGAACCCUUGGCUGAUCGGUUUUAAAAGAACCUAUUUUGAUGUCAAUUCCUUAGUUGGUUAGCCUUUCCAGCCCGGUUUCAUGAGACUUAGAUCUCUAAUUUAACCGGGAAAAACUAAACUGUUUGGUUAUGUUUUAGGCAUUAAUUAGCCAACCAAAAUCUCAUUUACAAAGAUUUUAGCAGUCUUUUUAACCUCACCUUUUUUUUUAACCUCACUUUCAUUAUCUCUGAUGAAUAAAACCUAGAAUUUUGAAAAACUCCAUCAAAUUUUGAUUUGUUAGUUCCAUCUGUUUAUAAGUUCAUUGAUUACAUAGUAAAAAAGCAUGAAGAGAAGUUGUUCUUGUGCCUCUCUAGACAGUCAUCUUCCAAAACAAUGGUUGUGGAGUGAAUAAGGGAACAUUUCAAUAACAAGUAAAGAAAGAAAAAAGACAUAAUCAAGAACCAUUAUUCUGGAGUGUAAACUUCUGCUUACAUCGUCACUGCCGCAGCCUAUAUAGCUUCACCCAAAAAUUGUAAUAGACAAGACAUUACUAUAGAGUUGCAGAAACAAAACAAACAAACAUAAAAAGCUCGAAACUUUCACUCAUUAUUACAACUGGAUCAGUGGAAAUUCACUAGAUUCGACAGAACCAUAACCCAGAAACUAAUUAGACAAACCAAAUUCAAAGAAUGAAGAGAUCAAAUGCAACUCUGAGAACUAAGAUAGAGAGACAGGGAGGUCCUGUGUUUUAAAAGGCGAUCGCCUUUUGCGCCAAGGCGCAAGGCGCACCGUGGCAAUGGUCCCAGCGCCUCAGUCCUCUAAGGCGAGCCCUAGUUCCUCAAGGCGCUCGCCAUGGUGCGCCAUUGGCUUAAAUAUAAGCGCCUUGGUUCAAAGGCGCGCGUUUCCGUUAAAACACUACUUUGACGGAACCCUUAAAACAUCUUGGAACUCUAUCACUACUUUCUCGACCAUUUAAAUAUCCUUAAAACAUAAUGCUUAGAUCUUCAGAGUUUUAGGUUUUGUUGGAUUUGAUCAAUUGAAUUUAGUUUUUUUUGUUUCAAGUUCUUUGUUUUGGUAGACCAUCUCCAAUGUAUUUCUCUAUUUUUACCUCUAAAAUAGAGGAACUCUAUAAUAGAGAUGGGUUUUACUCCAAUGUAUUUCUCUAAAAUAGAGAUCUCUAUAUAUAGAGCAAAAUAUAGAGGAAUGCUAUUUCUUCCCCUAUAAAUAGAGGAAAAAAUAGCAAUCUCUAUUUUAGAGGCAAAAAUAGAGAUGGGUUGGAGUGAUUUUGCCUCUAAAUGCUAUUAUAGAGGUAGAAAUAAAGGUGGGUUGGAGAUGCUCUUAGGGCGAACCUCUAGAUUCACCAACCAAUAUGAUUGUUUUAUUUUAUAUUCGAUAUCUUUUAAAAAAGGAAACAAAAUAUUGUCAAAUUAUAUUAUGUUUUUAAAAUUAAAAGGUAAAAAAAUAGUAGUAAUUACAAAAAAAAAUUUUACGUCAUCAGCAUAACAUUAAACUCUAAAUCAUAAUCCCUAAACCCUUAAUCCUAAACCCUUGGAUAAACCCUAAACUCUAUGAUAAAUCCUCUAAAUCAAAAUCACUAUACACUAAAACAUUCAAGGGUUUAGGGUUUUAAUGUUUUUUAUUUAGAGUUUAGGAUUUAUCCAAAGGUUUAGGGUUUUAGUGUUUUUUAUUUAGAGUUUAGGAUUUAUUCAAGGGUUUACGGUUUACCCAAAGGUUUAGGGUUUACCCAAAGAUUUAGGGUUUAGAAUUUAGGGUUUAUGGAUUAAGAUUUAGGGCUUAGUGUUUUGUUGACAAUGUUAAAAAUAUAUAUUUUUUUUAUUUUUUUUUCUGUAAUUAUUAUCUUUUUUUACCUUUUUAUUUUUAAAACAUAAUAUAAUUUGAGAAUAUUUUGUUUACUUUUUUAAAAGAUAUCGAAUUUGAAAUAAUGAAAUUCUAUUGGUUGGUGAACCUAGAAGUUCAUUGUAAGGAGUGAACCCAAGAAUAACUCUUCUGUGAUUUUCUAAUAAUAGCAAUAGUUGAAAACAUUCAACAAUUAAAAAUGACAAUAUCACAUUUAUAUUUUCGAAUUCAAAACUUAACAUUUAACAAAUAAAAUAAUGAAAAUUAAUAAAUUUUGUAUUCAACUCUUACAUAACCCACAUCUUUCACAGUCAAUUUUGAUACAUUGGAGGAGAUGAUAAUGUAAAUCAUCAAAACCCGGUUCGGUUUAUUUUCGAAUUGGAAUACCGGAAAUGCCUUUGAGACCCAUCUUAACCGCGGUUUUACGGAACAAAGGAGGAGGUUUCUCUAAACCAAUAGAAUAACAAAACCGAUUAGCUAACUCAGCCAACGUGGUUUUAUCCCUACCGGUUUCUCGAACCGAAUUGUAGUAACCCAGCCAAGCAUGGUAUGCUGCUUCUUUGAUACUUGUAUCAAUCUUACCCAUUGACUGAUCAACCUGCUCACACAAAAACGAUACUCAUUAUCAAUGUCCGGUUAGAAGUACCAACACAGUAACAAGAACUCAAAACAAACCUCAAGUUUAAAUCUUGAAUCAAGAUCAGGAACUGGAACUGGUUCAAUUGGCAAAUCUUUAAGCUCAUCAAGAAAGUAUCUCUCCCAUGGAGCAAUCAAAAGCAACCCUUUGCCUCCUUUGCCUUCUCUCCCGGUUCUACCAAGCCUAUGUAUAUACUGUUCUCUAUCACUCGGUAUACCGACCUAUACCAACAACAUGAUAACCAAGUUUUGAUAAGAGAUUGUUCUUGAUAUGAAACAAGUUUAGCCUGUGUGCUUUACCUGAAUAACCAAAGUAACAUCUGGAUAGUUCAUUCCACGGGCAGACACAUCAGACGUGACAAGAAUCAGUCUUUUGGAUUCUUUGAACUCGUCUGACACACGUGUUCUAUGGAGCUGAGGUUUUCUAGCGUGAAUCUCCCUAACGUUUAGCUUCAUUUCCCGGAGCAGAGUGUACAUCAGUGAUGUUACCAUACCGGUUGAACAGAACACUAUUAUCUGAGAGAAUGAAAUUGAAUAGUUGAGAAUAUUGUAAAUGUUAGGACAUGAGAAAGUGGUUGUUUACCUUAUAAUCGACUGUGUUGUUGAUGUGCUCUUUCAAAAGAUGAGGUACUAAGUGGAAAUGAGAUUCGUGUGGAGCAACAAGACAAGACUGCUUCACCUGAGAAACCAAAGAGCAAGAAACUCAAUAACCAGACCCAAGAAUCAGGCUUUUAAGACAAAAAAAAAAAGAAGAGUUUAUGAGUUACCUUAUCAUGUGUCUCUACACAACCGAGACCAAUUGUGUCGAUAUAUGAGUGAUCUCUUUUCAAAACAAGCUGAGAUACUCGACGGACCUCUUUAGGAAUGGUUGCAGAAAAGAGAAGAGAUUGUCUUUGACGAGGCAAACAAUCUAUGAUCUUUUCGACAUCCCUCCUGAAUCCUAAGUCUAGCAAGAGAUCAGCCUCGUCGACUACAAACAACUUAAGCGCCAUCAAACGUGACGUUAUGUUAGACUUAUUCUCUAUAUGAUCCAAAAGCCUUCCCGGAGUUGCAAUCAGUAUCUGCAACAAAGAUAACAAGAUUAGCCACAACGAGUAUAACACAAAGGAAUCAUGAGCGGUCAAACCUGGCACGGAUCGGACUGUAGGCGUUGCUGGUCAAGUUUGAACCUGGUACCUCCAAUCAGAGUCUGAACACCGAUUCCUUCAUGGUAUUUGAGCAGAGCCUUGCCUUCUGCAGCUAUCUGGCUUGCAAGUUCUCUUGUGGGGCAGAGGAUAAGAACGAGUAUUGGAGGAACUCUGUGAACGCCGUUGCUGAUUUCCAUAGCUUUCAGAACUGUUUCAAUUGCAGGAAGCUGUUUUUCUCAAUUUAACAGCGUUAUCUAAAGAAACAACAAAAAGCUAAUGCUCAUCAUAUAGGAACAAGGGAUUGUGAAAUACCAAAAAGGCCAUGCUUUUCCCUGUUCCGGUUUUGGCUUUGACCAAUGCAUCUUGACCUGCUUUACAUAAAGAAUGGUCAAUUAAGCACAAAGAGCAAUCAAGAUACGAACAAGAAGGAUACAUACCCUCGAAGCACUCAGAGAGGGUGGCAUCUUGUACUCUAGUCAUCUUAACAAUGCCAGAAGCAGAAAGAGCCUUCAGAGUCAAAGGAGAUAUACUAGACUCAUCAAAUCUGCAAAACAAAAAACCACAUCAAGAUCCAAACAUGACGAACUAAAAGCCUUACACAGUGUGUUAACAUACCUUCUUCCACUGUAAAUUGAGUCACUUGGCUCUCCAUCCACCUCCAUUACAUUUUCCACAGACUUUCUUUUACUAAGAUCAUCUCUAACGUCGUUGAUAUCCAAAGGAGGAUAAAGCUCUUCAUCAGUGACAUUCCUUUGCACUCUUUUAAUAAGUUUGAAAUCAUGGUUCCCUAACGACGCACUGCUCCCUGUUCUCCUCACAUCCAUCCACCCAUUCAUCUUCCCAUCUUCCUCCUCGGAAUCUUCUUCAGUGGAGCUAUCGUUCUUCCUAAACUUCCUCCUCCCAAACAAACCUUUGUUCCUCAUAACAUUACUCACACUCUUCACUUUCUCCUUCUUACCAGCAAACCCAGAAGAAAAAGGACUCAAAGUAUCAAACUUUUUAGAAUCAAAAUCCUCUCCUUCAUCACAAGAACUCUCAUUUCUCUUAAACCUACCUCUAUGACUCAUACUCGAAAAACCUCUCCUACCAUUACCCAUUACCAUACUCCUCACAUCAAUUGGCGAAUUUGACCGUGACCCUCCAUGAUUCAAUCUCGGCCCUUGAUUCGUUUUCUUAACAGGUCCAUCGUCUUCGUUCCACAGAUCCUCAGCUCCGGCUUUCAUAAACCGAUCAGCCAAGGAUUUGAUAUGUUCUUGGGGACUCAACGGUCCGUGGCUCUGAUUCGAUUUCGCCUUUGUUUCGUUUGAAUCGUGGUUUCCUCCCAGCAUCUUGGCUCGGAUCUCUGACCGGAUCCGAGCCUCGUAGAGCUGCUUCUCUUGGUCUAAGAGCUUGUUCUCUUUCUCUCUGGCUUUCUUCUCGUGCAUGCGUUUCCAUUGCCACUUGUUGAGACCUCCCGGGAAGGUUCUGGGACCGCCGCCCAUGUUACGAGAGAGGAUUAGGCUCCAUAUGGAUCCGGAUCGUUCCCGGAGAAUCGUUGAGUACAUUUCCGGUGAGUGACGCUAGAAG
This 5570-nucleotide long non-coding RNA is filed under the name Brassica napus (rape). RNAcentral's name for it is "long non-coding RNA (BNAP_LNC007478)". The record is from RNAcentral. Lineage: Eukaryota; Viridiplantae; Streptophyta; Magnoliopsida; Brassicales; Brassicaceae.